UCGCGGUGUCAACUGGCAUGUUCGUGUGACGUCCUACCGGUGGGCUUAGCCUCUCGGGGCGGUCCAACUAAUAUCCCAUCGCGGUGCUCUUAAUUGAGUGUCGAGGUGGGCCGGUACGUUUACUUUGAACAAAUUAGAGUGCUUAAAGCAGGCUAUCUUCGCCUGAAUACUGUGUGCAUGGAAUAAUGGAAUAGGACCUCGGUUC
This 205-nucleotide ribosomal RNA is filed under the name Ceroptres sp. MB440. RNAcentral describes it as "partial 18S ribosomal RNA". Lineage: Eukaryota; Metazoa; Arthropoda; Insecta; Hymenoptera; Cynipidae. The record is from RNAcentral.